Pongo pygmaeus (Bornean orangutan) is the source of this 5567-nucleotide long non-coding RNA. RefSeq lists it as uncharacterized. Lineage: Eukaryota; Metazoa; Chordata; Mammalia; Primates; Hominidae. The transcript is spliced from 3 exons. The record is from RefSeq and is a predicted model, not a curated record.
AUGAUGGGCUGUUGGGGAAUGCAGGGCCAGCGCUCUAGGAAAGUGAAACUGCCUUGCAGAGGGAAAGCAACGCACUGUGGCCCCGAAAGACCCAGACCGCCAGCGGCCCCGGGCAGCCGCCGAGGGCACCGGCUCACACUUCCUGCCUCUCACAAGCUCUUGCUUGGCAUGCAUUGGUGACUUGAACUGGGGGAUUAACCCAAAAAGAUCAAGUGCGAGCUCAAGGCGGAUGAUGAGAACAGAUUCGGGGCUGGUUAACCUCAGAGAGCGGGAGUCCGUUGGUGCUAAUGAGGCCAAGGGAGCCUGGCUCCUUUCUGCCCCCAGGCAGGUGAGAAAGAAAGAACGGAGACGAAAGAGGGCCCGCUGUGUCUACUCAUUUUGGCCCGGAAGCCCAGCUCGACCCUGAGGCCACAAACUGCCCCCUACUGGAGAAAUCGCUGCAGGAUUUCUCCUCCAUCAAAUCGCUGUGUCAGAGCCAGUGGGGGGCUUUUAAAAGACGCCCACGCUCAGGCCCCCACCAGGCCACCUACAUUGGAAUAUCUGAGGCUAAGUCCCAAGCUAGAAUUUCCCAUCUUCUUUCUGGCCUCGGGAGAUUUUGCAUCUCCUUCCAGGGAAGGAAGCCUGACUUCUGAAAUGAUUCUCACGAAGGAGAAGUGCUCCGUUCUGCAGUGAGCCUGACCAGGGGGGCCACACCACAGACUCCCAGGAGGCUUCUGCUCUGCGUGGUUCUUCUGCUCUCGUUUCCUUAACGAUUAGGCCAGAGCAUCUCUGCUCUUGUAAAAUAUCAGGCAAUUAGAUCUCGAAGUCUUUGAAGUGGGCAGAUUCACCAGGCGUUGGACUGAAGUUUCUAUUUGUCCUGGCACUGAGAAUAGCAAAGGAACAGGGGGACUGAACUGGUAUGGAAAGAGGCAUAGAGAGGUGAAGUACCUUGUUGAUAUCUUCUAGACCGGGCUGGCGGCAGGGUCUCUUGCUCUCAACCAGAGGAAGUAGAACAACGAAAGAAUAAGGAAGCCAGUUGCCAUGUCAUGGGGAGGACACUCAGGCAGCCCCGUGGGGAGACUCAUGUGAGGAGGAACUGAGAUGUCUUGCCAACAGCCAUAUGAGGGAGCCAUCUUGGAAAUCUUGGGACUUGGAAUCUUCCAGUCCCAAUCAAGUCUUCAGAUGACCAGAGCCUCAGCUGAUAACUUGGCUGCAGCCUCAUGAGAGACCCUGAGCCAGAACCACUCAGCCAAGGUGUUCCUAGAUUCCUGCCUCUCAAAAACUGUGUGAGAUAAUAGAUGCUUAUUGUUUAAAGUUGUUUAGGGUAAUUCAUUGUGUAGCAACAGAUAACUGAAACAGGAGGCCCUGCAUUUACUCUUUUUUUUGGAGACAGAGUCUUGCUGUGUCACCCAGGCUGGAGUGCAGUGGGGCGAUCUCCACUCAUUGCAACCUCCGCCUCCUGGUUCAAGCAAUUCUCAUGCCUUAGCUUCCCGGGUGGCUGGGACUACAGGAGUGUGCCACCAUGCCCAGAUAAUUAUUUUGUAUUUUUAAUAGAGACAGGGUUUCACCAUGUUGGCCAGGCUGGUCUCAAACUCCUGACCUCAAGUGAUCUGCCUGCCUUGGCCUCCCAAAGUGCUAGAAUUACAGGCAUGAGCCACCGCAGCCAGCCUACAUUUACUCUUAAAAUGCUAUAAAUGCACAGAGUGCUUUGAAGAGUCUUUUAUCCCAAUGUAUUCCAACUAUAUUUCUUUUAAAAAUUUAGGGCAAUUCAGGCAUUUUAAUGCAUGUGGCCCUCCCCCUCCUACAUUCCCCCACCCUUCAUUAUUUCAAACUGGAGUGGUCUUUUGAAUUUUUUCCUGAACGUGUUUCUAGAAAGUUUAUACCAAGUAAAACAGCUAUAUCCAAGUUCCUAGUAAUUAUUACAGCAAUUACAAGGGUUCCAAGUCUAAUAAAGUAAUCUAAGGGCAGGAGGUUUGGAGGCAUGGUUAUUUCUUGGCAUUCUUCUAAUGACAGCCUGGAGCUGAGUAGCAUCUUGGCAGUUGUCUACUCUGUUUGAAUACGUUAGACUGCUCCUGACUCUGUCACUUGCUAACUGUGUGACCUUGGGCAAAUGAUCAAACUCUCUGUGCCUUAAUUGCAUAUAAAUUUUGGAAUCUAAUUAUAAUACCUGCUCUGUGGAAUCCUGGGGAAGAUUAAAAUGAGAGGUGGUAGAGCAUGGUGCUUAUGAACAUUGAACCAAAUUGCCUGAGUUUGAGUCUUAGCUCCAGUGACUUUUCUAGCUGUAUGAUCUUGGGAAUGUUACCUAAUCUCCUUGUGCCUCAAUAUUCCACAUACAUAAAAUGGGGUGAAGUGGGGAAAUGGUGCUUACCUCCUAUGACUGUCAUGAGAAUUAAAUGGAGCCAAUUCAUAUACUAUUCCUGGUACACAGUAAGUAGCAUAUGGCAAGGAUGCUAGGUAUAGUUGUGCAGGUUGUUCGCUGUUCAAGGGCUCAGAACUGAGAGGUCAAGUGAGGGCUUGCCAGGCCAUACACUUUGGUAUGAGGUUGCCUACCUAGAGGUGGCGCUGUUUUCUAAUUUGUACCAGGCCCUAUAUCAGCCAGCUGUCAGCAUAAGGGUUUGUAGUAUCCAGCAACCACUACCUUAGCACUAUCUUUAGGCUUUAGGCUGAUGUUCACUAAGCACAUGCCAGUUUUAUUAUAACUGUUACUUGGUAGCUUCCUGGAGUUCUCCAGGAUAACAUCAGUGGGAUGCCUAUAUCCCAAACCUUGCCAUUACCAUUCAGAUACAAUGCUGAAAAUCAAAUAAAAAAUAUUAGCAAGGUAAAAAGUUUAAAAUCCCGCAGGACAAUAUUAUAUAUUGCUUAGACAUACAUACAGAUUUGGUUCAAGUAUAGAAAAAUGCAUAAGAAUGAUAAACCCCAUAUCUGGAUUAUGGGUUACCUGGGGUGGGGAGGAAGUGGAAUUAGAAAGGGAUGAAGGAAGCUUCGGCUCUAUUCAUAAUUUAUUUCUUCAGCUUAAUGGUGGCUACAUAGUGUUUAUUAUUUUUUAAUCUUAAAUAUUUAAAAAUAAUGUAUAAUUAAUACUAUUAAAUAAGACCCGUCUUUCUAUGUAAAAACUAAUUUUGCAUUUCUCUCCUCAUUAGUCUCUGUUAAAUAUUAAAUCAGUACAUUGAUUGGGAAUGACAGAAUCAAGCAAUCAUUCAUUCAACAAGUAAACACUUGUUGAAUGAUAGGAUGUUCAAAGAGCUAAGAACUUCAUCCAUAUGCUGUAAUACUUAGAACGCUUGUAACAUUUAUAAUAACCUGUUUGGUUAUUUGACUACGUUUUCUUUUUUCUGUGAGAGCAGAGUCUCUGUCUUAUUCAUAUUUAAGAUUUCUGCUCCGUAAUAGGUGAUAAAUAAAUGUUAAUUUAAACCGAAUGAAACAUAAAUAUGAUUAUUAUUGUCCUGAAAGAGCUUUCAAUACACUAGAAUAAUGCAGGUCAUAAGUGCCAUAAACGAAGAGCAAAGGGAAUUCACUUACGCAUUCAUUCAUUUGAAAACCAUUUACUCGGCAUCUGUUAGGCACUGAGCACAUGACUAUAAACAAGAGAAACACAGACUUUGGUUUUUACAGGGCCAACUUCUCACCACUUUCAUCACUGUCUAACUGGCCUACGCUGCCAGCAUCUUUUGUUUGGAUGGUUGCAAUAAUCCAAUACUGAAAUCCUGACUCAUCUCCCUGCUUCCACUUUGCUCCCCUAUCGUAAAAUCUCAACCGUGUCCAGAGAGAUCCUCUAAAAACCUAAGUCAGAUCAUGUCACUCCUCUGCUCUGACACCUUCAAUGGCUUCUCAUCUGUAGGAGAUUGCAGAAAUUGCCAUAAUUAUUUAAAUUUUUCCUAUCGAGAAGUGAAGUCUGUUUCUCAACUCAUUGAGUCUGAGCUGGCCUUGUGACUUUCCUCGGCCAAUAGAAUGUGGCAGAUUCUGAGUUCUGUGCUAGCUCUGAGCUUGGGUUCCAUGGGGCUUCGAAUGCUUCUGUUCCUACUCUUGGAAUCCUGCCACUAUCAAAUAAACAUACUCUGACCAGCCUGUUGGUGGAUGAGAGACCAUGUGGAGGAGAAAUGCCCAAGGCGAGGCCAGGCCAGACCAGUCAAUUAUCAGCCAACUUACCAGCUGUCUGAGGACACAUGACCGAGCCUAGCCGAGAUCAGCCUAGCCCAGCCUAUCCCCAAAGAACCUUUCAGAUGACCCACAGACUCAUGAGCUAAAUAAAUGGCUUGAGUCAUUGAAGUUUCUGGUAGUUUUUUGGGCAGUGAACACUGAUACACUAUCUCAUUUAGACAAAAAGUCAAGCUUCUUUUUACUAACUGUAUCCCCAGUACUUAGUGCCUGGCACAUGGUAGAUGCACCAUGAACAUUUGUUGAAUAUAUUAAUAAAGGUGUAAAUGGUUUUAACAUUCUAUUGAGGGAAACAGGAAAAAGAUAAAUCAGUAAACCAAUAAAAUAAGUAUAAAAUUGGGUAAGUACUAUGGGAGAAAUGAAUAGUAGCUGAGGUAGAGGAUAAGAAUGAAGGUGGAAGGGGAAACCCUCCAUGGGCUCACUGUGUCUUUCAAAAUGAAAGCUAAAAUCCUGAUGGUGGCCUCUAAGGCCCUCCCUGACCGGGCCAUUACCUCACUGACCUCAUCGCCUGCCACUUUUGCUGCCUCUGAUAUCCAACUAUCUGGCCCUUCUGCUGUUUUUCCAAUACUCAAGCACACUUCCACCUCAGGUCCUGGAAUGUCCUUCCCUGAGACACUCCCACCAUUCACUCCCUCUCUUCCUUCGAAUCUCUGCUCAGGUAUCCCCUCUUUGGGCAAGGCCCUUCUGACCACCCAGAAUUCCCUAACCUCCAACCCUGCUUUAUUUUCCUCCAUAGGAAAGGAAUUUUGUCUUGCUUAGUUUAACCUUAGGGCAAUAUUGUCUUAGUCUAGAAAUUCAGCUCAUGGAUACAAAAAUCCUCUAGGAGCCGUAACUUCCUGUCCUAAAAUUUAAUAAGGCAAAUGUUUGGCUUCAAGCCAUACUGGGAAUAAGGUAAGGCCUUUUGAAAAAGCCACGAUGCCCAGGUGAGGGUUGAAUUGAUCACUGAGAACUCUACAAAUGCACUCAUGGCAAGGCUGGGAAUACCCUACACUUACCCUCUCGGUCAUUUACUUCAAAGUCUGCGGGGCAUUCUAAUCCAUGUUGUCAUUUGCUUUGUGCCAUAUUCCUAAGAGGUAGGCAGGGCAGGUUUUAUCAUCCUCUGUUUACAGAUGAAGAUAAUGAAGGUCACUGAGCUCAAGUGAGCUACCCAGGGCCACACACAUGUAAAGUGGUAGAACCAGAAUUUAAAUCUUGGUUGGUCUGACUCCAAGUGUAGUAUUUGUUUCACUUUUUUUUUCUUUUUCUUUCUUUUUUAUUUUUUUUUUAACUGUUUCUCCAUUCUGGGUUCUGACCAGGUGACCUUGAAUCAUAAAGAUUCAGGGCCUAUCUUGAGCUGCUCAAUAUGGAAGGCAUCUUUUCUCUAAAGAGUGUGAGCUCCCUGCCAAGCAGCACAGGCGCUUAAUAGGCUUUCAGAGCAGCAAUUCUAGAGCCUC